RNAcentral lists this transfer RNA (64 nucleotides) under Pheidole yeensis. Its description in RNAcentral is "tRNA-Cys". The record is from RNAcentral. Lineage: Eukaryota; Metazoa; Arthropoda; Insecta; Hymenoptera; Formicidae.
UGUAUUAUAGUUUAUAAAAACAUUAGGGUGCAAACUUAAAAAUAUUUAAUUUAAAUUAAUAUAU